CGUAGGGACCGAGCGUUGUCCGGAUUCAUUGGGCGUAAAGAGCUCGUAGGCGGCCACUCAAGUCGAAUGUGAAACCUCGAGGCUUAACCUCGAGCCUGCAUUCGAUACUGGGCGGCUAGAGUCUGGUAGGGGAUCUGGAAUUCCUGGUGUAGCGGUGGAAUGCGCAGAUAUCAGGAGGAACACCGGUGGCGAAGGCGGGAUCCUGGGCCAGUACUGACGCUGAGGAGCGAAAGCGUGGGGAGCAAACAGGAUUAGAUACCCUGGUAGUCCACGCCGUAAACGAUGGGCGCUAGGUGUGGGAGGUCAUCGACUCCUUCCGUGCCGCAGCUAACGCAUUAAGCGCCCCGCCUGGGGAGUACGGCCGCAAGGCUA
RNAcentral lists this ribosomal RNA (372 nucleotides) under uncultured organism. Its description in RNAcentral is "bacterial SSU rRNA". It matches the Rfam family "Bacterial small subunit ribosomal RNA", at positions 526 to 896 of the family's 1533-position model. The record is from RNAcentral.